This is a long non-coding RNA of Chrysoperla carnea, 101 nucleotides long. RefSeq lists it as uncharacterized. The transcript has 3 exons. The record is from RefSeq and is a predicted model, not a curated record. Lineage: Eukaryota; Metazoa; Arthropoda; Insecta; Neuroptera; Chrysopidae.
AUUUUUAAUAAAAAUAAGGAAUAUUUGCAGGGCCGGAUUAAUCCUCAACGGGGCCCUAGGCAACCAUCAACUUGGGGGCCCUUUUUUCACGUCCGUUCCCU